This is a long non-coding RNA of Dinoponera quadriceps, 770 nucleotides long. RefSeq lists it as uncharacterized. The record is from RefSeq and is a predicted model, not a curated record. NCBI's taxonomy places the organism in Eukaryota, Metazoa, Arthropoda, Insecta, Hymenoptera, Formicidae. The transcript is spliced from 3 exons.
GAUUUGCAUGCGUACCGUUUUGCCUCGCGAUACUUCUCUACUCGUGCAUGCGUGCAGCAUAGUGUACUACGUAUCAUCAAGCGCGUCAAGCCGAUGUACGAGGAGACCUUCACGUACACGCCGGGAACGUUUUGCCGGCCGCAACCGAAGCCCCAGGAUACUAGUCCAGCCAAUUCGUAGAAGCCAUCAUCUUGGCACACCAAGGGACCUCCACCGUCGCCCUAAACACAAGACGUCUCAGUACGGUAUCUCGUUAGACAAAACAUUAUUGUGAAAGGUAUUAAGUACAGCAACACAUUUGAUACUAGUGAUUUAUAUGUGAGUCAUAAUUUCUCUUUACAUGUCUAUGUAAACAAACGAAAGCCCGUAUUAAUCCACACAGCAUACUUUAUCCGAGAGACGUCCUGGGAACGUCUUUAAGACGUAGGACAUUCCUUGGAGGUCUUUGCUGUAUGGGAAUAGUCGUUACUUGAAACUUGUCUCAAGUGAGAUACUAAGGUUCGUAUUAAUAGUCAUUACUCGAUGCUCGUGAAAUACUCUGGUUAAAAUUUAAAGUUACAUCCAAGUUUUUUCAGCUCAAUCAUAUCAUAUACGUGACGUUAUGCCUGCAAUUGCAAUUCAACUGGAAAUCUCGCAUCUAAUUCUAGAUUUAAAUGCGAAUAUCUCACCUGAGACAAAUUUCAAAGGCAAUAUGGACAAGUGAGCAUACCUGACACGCGUCGUUCCCUUGUUCCCCGCCGGCGCAGAAACUGCUGGCUGGCAGAAUGAAG